GAUGAACGCUGGCGGCGUGCCUAAUACAUGCAAGUCGAGCGAACGGACGAGAAGCUUGCUUCUCUGAUGUUAGCGGCGGACGGGUGAGUAACGCGUGGAUAACCUACCUAUAAGACUGGGAUAACUUCGGGAAACCGGAGCUAAUACCGGAUAAUAUUUUGAACCGCAUGGUUCAAAAGUGAAAGACGGUCUUGCUGUCACUUAUAGAUGGAUCCGCGCUGCAUUAGCUAGUUGGUAAGGUAACGGCUUACCAAGGCAACGAUGCAUAGCCGACCUGAGAGGGUGAUCGGCCACACUGGAACUGAGACACGGUCCAGACUCCUACGGGAGGCAGCAGUAGGGAAUCUUCCGCAAUGGGCGAAAGCCUGACGGAGCAACGCCGCGUGAGUGAUGAAGGUCUUCGGAUCGUAAAACUCUGUUAUUAGGGAAGAACAUAUGUGUAAGUAACUGUGCACAUCUUGACGGUACCUAAUCAGAAAGCCACGGCUAACUACGUGCCAGCAGCCGCGGUAAUACGUAGGUGGCAAGCGUUAUCCGGAAUUAUUGGGCGUAAAGCGCGCGUAGGCGGUUUUUUAAGUCUGAUGUGAAAGCCCACGGCUCAACCGUGGAGGGUCAUUGGAAACUGGAAAACUUGAGUGCAGAAGAGGAAAGUGGAAUUCCAUGUGUAGCGGUGAAAUGCGCAGAGAUAUGGAGGAACACCAGUGGCGAAGGCGACUUUCUGGUCUGUAACUGACGCUGAUGUGCGAAAGCGUGGGGAUCAAACAGGAUUAGAUACCCUGGUAGUCCACGCCGUAAACGAUGAGUGCUAAGUGUUAGGGGGUUUCCGCCCCUUAGUGCUGCAGCUAACGCAUUAAGCACUCCGCCUGGGGAGUACGACCGCAAGGUUGAAACUCAAAGGAAUUGACGGGGACCCGCACAAGCGGUGGAGCAUGUGGUUUAAUUCGAAGCAACGCGAAGAACCUUACCAAAUCUUGACAUCCUUUGACAACUCUAGAGAUAGAGCUUUCCCCUUCGGGGGACAAAGUGACAGGUGGUGCAUGGUUGUCGUCAGCUCGUGUCGUGAGAUGUUGGGUUAAGUCCCGCAACGAGCGCAACCCUUAAGCUUAGUUGCCAUCAUUAAGUUGGGCACUCUAAGUUGACUGCCGGUGACAAACCGGAGGAAGGUGGGGAUGACGUCAAAUCAUCAUGCCCCUUAUGAUUUGGGCUACACACGUGCUACAAUGGACAAUACAAAGGGCAGCGAAACCGCGAGGUCAAGCAAAUCCCAUAAAGUUGUUCUCAGUUCGGAUUGUAGUCUGCAACUCGACUACAUGAAGCUGGAAUCGCUAGUAAUCGUAGAUCAGCAUGCUACGGUGAAUACGUUCCCGGGUCU
Molecule: ribosomal RNA, 1372 nt
Filed under: uncultured bacterium
Lineage: Bacteria
Description: bacterial SSU rRNA
Rfam family: Bacterial small subunit ribosomal RNA
Source: RNAcentral